UACGGGGGGGGUAAGCGUUGUUCGGAAUUACUGGGCGUAAAGGGCUCGUAGGCGGCCAACUAAGUCAGACGUGAAAUCCCUCAGCUUAACUGGGGAACUGCGUCUGAUACUGGAUGGCUUGGAUCCGGAAGAGGGAUGCGGAAUUCCAGGUGUAGCGGUGAAAUGCGUAGAUAUCAGGAGGAACACCGAUGGCGAAGGCAGGUCUCUGGGCAUUAACUGACGCUGAGGAGCGAAAGCAUGGGGAGCGAACAGG
RNAcentral lists this ribosomal RNA (253 nucleotides) under uncultured bacterium. RNAcentral describes it as "partial 16S ribosomal RNA". It matches the Rfam family "Bacterial small subunit ribosomal RNA", at positions 524 to 776 of the family's 1533-position model. The record is from RNAcentral.